UGGGGAAUAUUGCACAAUGGGCGCAAGCCUGAUGCAGCCAUGCCGCGUGUAUGAAGAAGGCCUUCGGGUUGUAAAGUACUUUCAGCGGGGAGGAAGGUGUUGUGGUUAAUAACCACAGCAAUUGACGUUACCCGCAGAAGAAGCACCGGCUAACUCCGUGCCAGCAGCCGCGGUAAUACGGAGGGUGCAAGCGUUAAUCGGAAUUACUGGGCGUAAAGCGCACGCAGGCGGUCUGUCAAGUCGGAUGUGAAAUCCCCGGGCUCAACCUGGGAACUGCAUCCGAAACUGGCAGGCUUGAGUCUUGUAGAGGGGGGUAGAAUUCCAGGUGUAGCGGUGAAAUGCGUAGAGAUCUGGAGGAAUACCUGUGGCGAAGGCGGCCCCCUGGACAAAGACUGACGCUCAGGUGCGAAAGCGUGGUGAGCAAACA
Molecule: ribosomal RNA, 427 nt
Filed under: uncultured bacterium
Lineage: Bacteria
Description: partial 16S ribosomal RNA
Rfam family: Bacterial small subunit ribosomal RNA
Source: RNAcentral